GCCCUGCUUGGAAGUGGACGAGGCGUUUCUCCGGCCCUGGCUCUCCUGGCCUUCUCCAGCCCAAUGUGUGACCCGCUACAGCCACCUGGUGGGCCGCGGGGGAAUACAGCAACGAUUUCAAUAAACCCCAGGACAUAGGCCCUGCCGGGAAAGGAGUCUGGGGCCUGGCAUGGUCUAGAUUCCCUCCCCAAGGACUGCCCAGUCCCCUUCCCCCUCCAUCCUCAGUUCCCUUUAGUAAUAGAGAAAGCCGUCCCCCGUGUUCUCUCGGCUGAUCUAUAGUAGGCGAGGGUGGGCAUGGAAUAAAACGACCGCUUCUGCUGCUUUACUCCUCAGGUUAUUUCCAUUCGAAAUUAGUUAGGCAGGGAGGAGACAUCAGGCUGGAGCCCAGAGGCAGGAGGGAAGCGCCCACCGACCCCACCCCGCGUUCCAAAACGUUCCCUCCAGCGCAGCGUCUCCCAAUAGCCGGGAUCCUGGGGGUCCCAGCCAAUCUGAUGGGGGUCGCGUUUUUCCCGGCCUGGGACGCGGGAGGCUCCAUUCUGCACCAGAAGCGGGGAGGGCCAAGGGAGACAUGAGCACAGCUGGCUCGAGUGGCUCGUGGAGUUAGCCUGCAGCCGCCUCUCUGGUGGGCGCUGGAUCCCCACAAGCCCCCAGGGGAAAACGGUCUACGCCUCUUAGACCCGCACCUUCGCCAGCAGAACCGGAACUGCCACUGCUGCUAGGAGAAAGUCUUGGACAAUAAUCGCGACGUCCAGGCCACACAGGCCAUAAACCGCCACGGGAGCAGCGAGCGCCCUGAGUAGCGCAGCCCCCCGCUCCCCAGGAGGUGGGAACCACGCUGGAACCAGCAAGCCCAAGCUCUGCGCCUUCGCGGCGAGAUCUGACGGCCCUAGUGGCCCCCAUCCUCCCGUCGGCCGGAGACCGGACCCGGUUACCACCACCUCCCCGCAAUUUCUAGUCUCUAAAUUAUGCUGUCCCCGAAAACAAAGAAAGUGACCAAGAAAUAAUGUGAAAAUGUUACCAAGAGAGUUUACUAUUGAAAGAAGUCUAGCC
RNAcentral lists this long non-coding RNA (1050 nucleotides) under Homo sapiens (human). RNAcentral describes it as "HSALNT0149924". The record is from RNAcentral. Lineage: Eukaryota; Metazoa; Chordata; Mammalia; Primates; Hominidae.